CAGUCGAACGAACUCUGGUAUUGAUUGGUGCUUGCAUCAUGAUUUACAUUUGAGUGAGUGGCGAACUGGUGAGUAACACGUGGGAAACCUGCCCAGAAGCGGGGGAUAACACCUGGAAACAGAUGCUAAUACCGCAUAACAACUUGGACCGCAUGGUCCGAGCUUGAAAGAUGGCUUCGGCUAUCACUUUUGGAUGGUCCCGCGGCGUAUUAGCUAGAUGGUGGGGUAACGGCUCACCAUGGCAAUGAUACGUAGCCGACCUGAGAGGGUAAUCGGCCACAUUGGGACUGAGACACGGCCCAAACUCCUACGGGAGGCAGCAGUAGGGAAUCUUCCACAAUGGACGAAAGUCUGAUGGAGCAACGCCGCGUGAGUGAAGAAGGGUUUCGGCUCGUAAAACUCUGUUGUUAAAGAAGAACAUAUCUGAGAGUAACUGUUCAGGUAUUGACGGUAUUUAACCAGAAAGCCACGGCUAACUACGUGCCAGCAGCCGCGGUAAUACGUAGGUGGCAAGCGUUGUCCGGAUUUAUUGGGCGUAAAGCGAGCGCAGGCGGUUUUUUAAGUCUGAUGUGAAAGCCUUCGGCUCAACCGAAGAAGUGCAUCGGAAACUGGGAAACUUGAGUGCAGAAGAGGACAGUGGAACUCCAUGUGUAGCGGUGAAAUGCGUAGAUAUAUGGAAGAACACCAGUGGCGAAGGCGGCUGUCUGGUCUGUAACUGACGCUGAGGCUCGAAAGUAUGGGUAGCAAACAGGAUUAGAUACCCUGGUAGUCCAUACCGUAAACGAUGAAUGCUAAGUGUUGGAGGGUUUCCGCCCUUCAGUGCUGCAGCUAACGCAUUAAGCAUUCCGCCUGGGGAGUACGGCCGCAAGGCUGAAACUCAAAGGAAUUGACGGGGGCCCGCACAAGCGGUGGAGCAUGUGGUUUAAUUCGAAGCUACGCGAAGAACCUUACCAGGUCUUGACAUACUAUGCAAAUCUAAGAGAUUAGACGUUCCCUUCGGGGACAUGGAUACAGGUGGUGCAUGGUUGUCGUCAGCUCGUGUCGUGAGAUGUUGGGUUAAGUCCCGCAACGAGCGCAACCCUUAUUAUCAGUUGCCAGCAUUAAGUUGGGCACUCUGGUGAGACUGCCGGUGACAAACCGGAGGAAGGUGGGGAUGACGUCAAAUCAUCAUGCCCCUUAUGACCUGGGCUACACACGUGCUACAAUGGAUGGUACAACGAGUUGCGAACUCGCGAGAGUAAGCUAAUCUCUUAAAGCCAUUCUCAGUUCGGAUUGUAGGCUGCAACUCGCCUACAUGAAGUCGGAAUCGCUAGUAAUCGCGGAUCAGCAUGCCGCGGUGAAUACGUUCCCGGGCCUUGUACACACCGCCCGUCACACCAUGAGAGUUUGAACACCCAAAGUCGGUGGGGUAACCUUUUAGGAACCAGC
Molecule: ribosomal RNA, 1428 nt
Filed under: Lactiplantibacillus plantarum
Lineage: Bacteria; Bacillati; Bacillota; Bacilli; Lactobacillales; Lactobacillaceae
Description: bacterial SSU rRNA
Rfam family: Bacterial small subunit ribosomal RNA
Source: RNAcentral